This 253-nucleotide ribosomal RNA is filed under the name uncultured bacterium. RNAcentral describes it as "partial 16S ribosomal RNA". It matches the Rfam family "Bacterial small subunit ribosomal RNA", at positions 524 to 776 of the family's 1533-position model. The record is from RNAcentral.
UACGUAGGGAGCAAGCGUUGUCCGGAAUCAUUGGGCGUAAAGCGCACGUAGGCGGACUGUUAAGUCGGGGGUGAAAUCCUGGGGCUCAACCUCAGAAUUGCCUCCGAUACUGGCAGUCUCGAGUGCGGGAGAGGUGAGUGGAAUUCCCAGUGUAGAGGUGAAAUUCGUAGAUAUUGGGAAGAACACCAGUGGCGAAGGCGGCUCACUGGCCCGUAACUGACGCUGAGGUGCGAAAGCGUGGGGAGCAAACAGG